This 427-nucleotide ribosomal RNA is filed under the name uncultured bacterium. RNAcentral's name for it is "partial 16S ribosomal RNA". It matches the Rfam family "Bacterial small subunit ribosomal RNA", at positions 355 to 774 of the family's 1533-position model. The record is from RNAcentral. RNAcentral also lists the same sequence under 1 other name.
UAGGGAAUCUUCCACAAUGGGCGAAAGCCUGAUGGAGCAACGCCGCGUGUGUGAUGAAGGCUUUCGGGUCGUAAAGCACUGUUGUAUGGGAAGAACAGCUAGAAUAGGAAAUGAUUUUAGUUUGACGGUACCAUACCAGAAAGGGACGGCUAAAUACGUGCCAGCAGCCGCGGUAAUACGUAUGUCCCGAGCGUUAUCCGGAUUUAUUGGGCGUAAAGCGAGCGCAGACGGUUUAUUAAGUCUGAUGUGAAAGCCCGGAGCUCAACUCCGGAAUGGCAUUGGAAACUGGUUAACUUGAGUGCAGUAGAGGUAAGUGGAACUCCAUGUGUAGCGGUGGAAUGCGUAGAUAUAUGGAAGAACACCAGUGGCGAAGGCGGCUUACUGGACUGCAACUGACGUUGAGGCUCGAAAGUGUGGGUAGCAAACA